RNAcentral lists this ribosomal RNA (448 nucleotides) under Bacillus pumilus. RNAcentral's name for it is "bacterial SSU rRNA". It matches the Rfam family "Bacterial small subunit ribosomal RNA", at positions 9 to 446 of the family's 1533-position model. The record is from RNAcentral. Lineage: Bacteria; Bacillati; Bacillota; Bacilli; Caryophanales; Bacillaceae.
GAGUUUGAUCCAUGGCUCAGGACGAACGCUGGCGGCGUGCCUAAUACAUGCAAGUCGAGCGAACAGAAGGGAGCUUGCUCCCGGAUGUUAGCGGCGGACGGGUGAGUAACACGUGGGUAACCUGCCUGUAAGACUGGGAUAACUCCGGGAAACCGGAGCUAAUACCGGAUAGUUCCUUGAACCGCAUGGUUCAAGGAUGAAAGACGGUUUCGGCUGUCACUUACAGAUGGACCCGCGGCGCAUUAGCUAGUUGGUGGGGUAAUGGCUCACCAAGGCGACGAUGCGUAGCCGACCUGAGAGGGUGAUCGGCCACACUGGGACUGAGACACGGCCCAGACUCCUACGGGAGGCAGCAGUAGGGAAUCUUCCGCAAUGGACGAAAGUCUGACGGAGCAACGCCGCGUGAGUGAUGAAGGUUUUCGGAUCGUAAAGCUCUGUUGUUAGGGAA